UUGUAGUGUGACAUGCCCGUUUGGGUUUUACUCCGAUGUUGAACAAUUAUUAUUUAAUUGAUUUUGGGAAACGGGGUGUUACAUUUACA
RNAcentral lists this microRNA precursor (89 nucleotides) under Medicago truncatula (barrel medic). RNAcentral's name for it is "MIR2617 microRNA precursor family". It matches the Rfam family "MIR2617 microRNA precursor family". Lineage: Eukaryota; Viridiplantae; Streptophyta; Magnoliopsida; Fabales; Fabaceae. The record is from Rfam by way of RNAcentral.